Molecule: transfer RNA, 96 nt
Filed under: Ramlibacter terrae
Lineage: Bacteria; Pseudomonadati; Pseudomonadota; Betaproteobacteria; Burkholderiales; Comamonadaceae
Description: Ramlibacter sp. H242 tRNA-Ser
Rfam family: tRNA
About the family: Transfer RNA (tRNA) molecules are approximately 80 nucleotides in length. Their secondary structure includes four short double-helical elements and three loops (D, anti-codon, and T loops).
Source: RNAcentral
GGAGCGAUGACCGAGUGGCCGAAGGUGCUCCCCUGCUAAGGGAGUAUGUGGGCUAAAAAACCCGCAUCGAGGGUUCGAAUCCCUCUCGCUCCUCCA